UACGUAGGGGGCAAGCGUUGUCCGGAUUUAUUGGGCGUAAAGAGCGUGUAGGCGGCUGGGUAGGUCCGUUGUGAAAACUCGAGGCUCAACCUCGAGACGCCGGUGGAAACCCUCCAGCUAGAGUCCGGAAGAGGAGAGUGGAAUUCCUGGUGUAGCGGUGAAAUGCGCAGAUAUCAGGAAGAACACCCGUGGCUAAGGCGGCUCUCUAGUACGGUACUGACGCUGAGACGCGAAAGCGUGGGGAGCGAACAGG
This 253-nucleotide ribosomal RNA is filed under the name uncultured bacterium. RNAcentral's name for it is "partial 16S ribosomal RNA". It matches the Rfam family "Bacterial small subunit ribosomal RNA", at positions 524 to 776 of the family's 1533-position model. The record is from RNAcentral.